AAUCAUCGAAUCUUUGAACGCACAUUGCGCCCCUUGGUAUUCCGGGGGGCAUGCCUGUUCGAGCGUCAUUACACCUCUCAAGCUCCGCUUGGUAUUGGGCCCCGUCCCCCCUGAGGGACGGGCCCGAAAGUGAGUGGCGGU
Molecule: ribosomal RNA, 141 nt
Rfam family: 5.8S ribosomal RNA (bases 1-68)